UACGUAGGGUGCAAGCGUUAAUCGGAAUUACUGGGCGUAAAGCGUGCGCAGGCGGUUAUGCAAGACAGAUGUGAAAUCCCCGGGCUCAACCUGGGAACUGCAUUUGUGACUGCACGGCUAGAGUGUGUCAGAGGGGGGUAGAAUUCCACGUGUAGCAGUGAAAUGCGUAGAUAUGUGGAGGAAUACCGAUGGCGAAGGCAGCCCCCUGGGCCAAUACUGACGCUCAGGCACGAAAGCGUGGGGAGCAAACAGG
Molecule: ribosomal RNA, 253 nt
Filed under: uncultured bacterium
Lineage: Bacteria
Description: partial 16S ribosomal RNA
Rfam family: Bacterial small subunit ribosomal RNA
Source: RNAcentral